GCCCAGGCCCAAGCCGCUGACGGCAUUGCCAAGGCCGAGGCCUCUGACAAUUGAAGGUCCCCCCCAGAAUGACAGCGGCCGGUGGGGAGGCCCUGCAAGCCCCGCCGGCAUCCUCACAGCUACAACACGGUGUUCAGCCCCUGUGCGCACAUGCGGCUUCUCGCCCACAGGCUGACUAACGGUGCCGUGGGAGGAAGGCUUUGGGUGCGACGGGCUGGAGAAGAGAAGGCUCCAGAGAGACCUUAGAGCAGCCUUCCAGUACCUAAAGGGGGCUGACAAGAAACAGCAGUCAUCACUACUUCUGGAUUAUCAUGGACUGGGAUUUUCAAGAAUUUAAAGUGAGACAAUUGAUAUAAUGCAGUUUUCUGAUCUAAAUACUCUUUGGAAGAUCUUUCAUGGAAUGUGCAAUGUUUUCUAAGCUGACAUCUUGUCUGAUGAGAAAUCCUGCUGCUUUGCUCAGUAAAUACACGGAAGGAAGGAUUUUCCUUGUUGCUGCAAGGAAAGGAAUCGUGGUGGAAUAUUACUGUCAUUCUGUCACAUCGUCAUCCUGAUGGGGAUCUGUAUACUGGGAGAAAAUACUCUGGCAACCAGUAGCUGGAAGAUGAGAGUAGACUAAUUCAAAGUAGAAAUAAAUAUUUUACAUACAGAAUAGUUGAAACCACUUGAAGUGGUUCACAGUUUGGUUGCUUGCACUAGACAAAAUUUUGUAGUCAGCAUACCACCAAAGUAUUCAACUACAGUUUUCUACAGGGCCCUAGAGUUUUGAAGAGCACUGGGCGUGCCCAGAAUACUAGAAGCUCACGCUCACUACACUGCCCCUUGGACCGGUAGUGGCUGCAGUUGCUUGUGGUCCUUUGGAGCAGCUGGAGCUUGGCAAUCUUCCCUUAUUCCAACUUCAUUUAUAUCAGUGAAGUUGACAGCUUCUCAGAGGUGGCCACUCUGAGAUGACAGCUUGAUAAAAUUAUUAAGAAAGACCUUCCUCCUGUUUCAAAAUUAGCAUGUGUUCUAUCUCUGCUUCCUUGGACUU
Long non-coding RNA from Neopsephotus bourkii (Bourke's parrot), 1027 nucleotides. RefSeq lists it as uncharacterized. The transcript has 5 exons. The record is from RefSeq and is a predicted model, not a curated record. NCBI's taxonomy places the organism in Eukaryota, Metazoa, Chordata, Aves, Psittaciformes, Psittacidae.